This 253-nucleotide ribosomal RNA is filed under the name uncultured bacterium. RNAcentral's name for it is "partial 16S ribosomal RNA". It matches the Rfam family "Bacterial small subunit ribosomal RNA", at positions 524 to 776 of the family's 1533-position model. The record is from RNAcentral.
UACGAAGGGGGCUAGCGUUGUUCGGAAUUACUGGGCGUAAAGAGCGCGUAGGCGGCUUUGCAAGUUUAGAGUGAAAGCCCGGGGCUUAACCUCGGAAUUGCUCUCAAAACUGCCAAGCUAGAGUGUAGUAGGGGAUGAUGGAAUUCCUAGUGUAGAGGUGAAAUUCUUAGAUAUUAGGAGGAACACCGGUGGCGAAGGCGGUCAUCUGGGCUACUACUGACGCUGAGGCGCGAAAGCGUGGGGAGCAAACAGG